UACGUAGGGUGCAAGCGUUGUCCGGAAUUAUUGGGCGUAAAGAGCUCGUAGGCGGUUUGUCGCGUCUGCUGUGAAAACUCGGGGCUUAACUCCGGGCCUGCAGUGGGUACGGGCAGACUAGAGUGCGGUAGGGGAGACUGGAAUUCCUGGUGUAGCGGUGAAAUGCGCAGAUAUCAGGAGGAACACCGGUGGCGAAGGCGGGUCUCUGGGCCAGUAUUGACGCUGAGGAGCGAAAGCGUGGGUAGCAAACAGG
RNAcentral lists this ribosomal RNA (253 nucleotides) under uncultured bacterium. RNAcentral's name for it is "partial 16S ribosomal RNA". It matches the Rfam family "Bacterial small subunit ribosomal RNA", at positions 524 to 776 of the family's 1533-position model. The record is from RNAcentral.